Molecule: long non-coding RNA, 255 nt
Filed under: Vigna radiata
Lineage: Eukaryota; Viridiplantae; Streptophyta; Magnoliopsida; Fabales; Fabaceae
Description: long non-coding RNA (VRAD_LNC005700)
Source: RNAcentral
CCCAGCCAACCCAUCUUCAACUAGACAACCCAAACAACUCGGUUAGAGCAACCCGGACAGCUCGAUCCUGACACUAAUAGCUCAGACAUCACAUAAAAGCAACAUGACAGUAACUUUGAGCACUCAUAAAUACAUGAAACAACACAACAAGACAUAAAACAUUAUGGUAACAUAUAAAAAUAGCUUGGCACAUGCUUCUUACAUUAUGACAUCAAUUUAAACCACUCGGUGAAUGCAUAUCACACUAUGACCACA